AGCAGCCGCGGUAAUUCCAGCUCCGAUAGCGUAUAUUAAAGUUGUUGCAGUUAAAAGCUCGUAGUUGAAUUUCGGGAUUGACGUAAUGGUCGUGCCUUAAGGGGUAUGAACUGUUACUGUUGAUUUCUCACCUUCUGGAGAAUCUUGAUGUCCUUAAUUGGGUGUCUUGUGGAUCCAGGACCUUUACCUUGAAAAAUUGAGUGUUUAAAGCAGGCAUUUUGCUCGAAUACAUUAGCAUGGAAUAAUAGAAUAGGACGGCAUGGUUCUAUUUUGUUGGUUUCUAGGAUCACCGUAAUGAUUAAUAGGGAUAGUUGGGGGCAUUAGUAUUCAAUUGUCAGAGUGAAAUUCUUGGAUUUAUUGAAGACUAACUACUGCGAAAGCAUUUGCCAAGGAUGUUUUCAUUAAUCAAGAACGAAAGUUAGGGAUCGAAGACGAUCAGAUACCGUCGUAGUCUUAACCAUAAACUAUGCCGACUAGGAAUCAGAC
This 486-nucleotide unclassified non-coding RNA is filed under the name uncultured Glomus. Its description in RNAcentral is "SSU rRNA". It matches the Rfam family "Eukaryotic small subunit ribosomal RNA", at positions 569 to 1058 of the family's 1831-position model. Lineage: Eukaryota; Fungi; Glomeromycota; Glomeromycetes; Glomerales; Glomeraceae. The record is from RNAcentral.